RNAcentral lists this long non-coding RNA (2543 nucleotides) under Betta splendens (Siamese fighting fish). Its description in RNAcentral is "lncRNA (ENSBSLG00000001079.1)". Lineage: Eukaryota; Metazoa; Chordata; Actinopteri; Anabantiformes; Osphronemidae. The record is from RNAcentral.
UUUUAUUUAGACCAGUCAUGGCAGCAGCAGAUUUGUCCAGGAACAGAGGAGGGUUUGGUGGUAGAGGCCUGCUCGUCACCUUCACUCUGUUUUCUCUGGUGUCUUUCACAAAUUCACUAGUCAACAACGAUGAACUGAACAAGCUUGUGGAAUCAUAUCAAGAUGUACAACAAGAGCUGCACAGAGUUAAAGCAAAAUUAAGCAGCACCUCAGAGUUAUUAAAUGAAGGAACCAACAUGAUAAACUCUAUGGCAGCGUGGAUGAAAGAAACUGUGAAGAAUCUCCCGGACGAUUUUCCCCCAGUGGAGAAUUUUUUGGCUGCUUCCCAAGGCUACAUGGAGGCAUUAAAGGCUUAUGUGAACAAUCAGAAUGAGAAGUUUACUGCAGAAAUUAGGGAGAGUGAAGAGGAACUAAAAACAAUGAUGAAAUUUAUCCAGUAUCUUCAAGAGUAUAAAGCUGAACUGUUCAGAUCCACCUCUGCUUCUUUCAACAAACAUGGAAGAACUGAAAACGCUUCGGGGCAGCCAAUGACCAAGCUUCAAAUCCUGUCUCUAUGGAGACACAAAUAUGUGGUCACCACCGAAAUCUAGAGUGUUGCCUACUUAAUUCAGAAACAAAGAGGAAGAGGAUGCUCAAGGGCGUAUCUCUGUCAGCAAUGUGACCAAACCUUCGCCAGGCCAUACUCACUGAAGAAUCAUCAGAAGAUUCGCUCUGUAGAGAAACCAUAUAGCUGUGACCAGUGUGCCAAUACAUUUAAAACAAGAAGUAAACUAAAAGCCCAUCAGCAAAUUCAUACAAGAGAAAGACCAUACACUUGCACUGAAUGUGGAGCAGCUUUUAAAAGGUCAGAUACUUUGAAAGUCCACUGUUUUGUUCACACUAGCAGAAACCUUAUUGUUGUAAAGAGUGUGGUAAAGCGUUCUAUAAUCACUCUAAGUUAGUUAGACACCAACGUGUUCACACUGGAGAGAAACCUUAUUUGUGCAAAAAGUGUGGAAAAGCAUUGUCUUAUUGCAGUAGCUUAGUGAUACAUCAGUGUGUUCACACUGGAGAGAAACUUUACUCAUGUGAACUAUGGGGUGCCAAAUGUACUGUAAAAGUAGAACCUAUAACUAGUUUUCUCACAUUUAACUAAAUGACACAACAUGUUUUCUCACAUUUAGUUAAAUGUGCAAAAGUCUAAAUGUAAAUGUUAAAUAUAAAUGUUAAAUGUAAAUGUUAAAUGUUAAAUGUUAACUGUUAAAUGUUAAAUGUUAAAUGUAAAUGUUAAAUGUAAAUGUUAAAUGUUAAAUGUUAAAUGUUAAAUGUUAAAUGUAAAUGUUAAAUGUAAAUGUUAAAUGUUGGCCGAGUGUAAAACUGAAUAUUCAUGAAUGGGCAAGUAGACUCUACCCCUACCCUCAAACGGCGCUGAUCUAAGAUCAGUGACGCGGACUCAAACACGUCCAACAGUACGCAUAGCUCCGCCCACAUCUGACACUGGAUCGGUGCACGAAAAUACUGGAGAGAAGCCUGAAGUCGAAGCCAUCAUGGCCGCCAGCUCAGACUCCCUCCCGUUGGGGGAGAUUGAACGGGCUGUAACGGCAGGUGUGCGGGCUGAGGCUCCGCUUCAAACUGCCGUUCUGUCGUAAACACCAUUAAUGAGGAGUCAAGUAGGUUUAAAAAGAAUAUUUGUGUGGCGCCGGUGGAGAAUUAGUUGGCUAACUAUACUAGCUAGCCGAAGUUACAUCCAGGCUAAAAACAAAAGUUUCCAGAUCAGAUGUGGGCGGGGUUUGCGCGCACUGUUUGAGGUGAUUGAGUUCGCGUCUCUGAUCCGAGACCAGCGCUGUUUGAGGGUAGGGAUGGAGUCUACUUGCACAUUCAUGAAUAUUCAGUUUACACUCGGCCAACAUUUAACAUUUACAUUUAACAUUUACAUUUAACAUUUAACAUUUACAUUUAACAUUUACAUUUAACAUUUAGCAUUUAACAUUUAACAUUUACAUUUAACAUUUACAUUUAGACUUUUGCACAUUUAACUAAAUGUGAGAAAACAUGUUGUGUCAUUUAGUUAAAUGUGAGAAAACUAGUUAUAGGUGCUCCUUUUACAUUUGGCACCCCAUAGUGAACGGUGUAAAAAAAAGUUAUUCAAUUAUGACCAUUAUCUAUAGAUACAUAAAUGUCUUCACAGUGGAGAGAAACCUUACUGGUGUGAACAGUGUGGAAAAGUGUUCUCUCAACAAAGUAAUUUACUGGUACAUCAACGUGUUUACACUGGAGAGAAACCUCACUCAUGUGAAUAGUUUGGAAAAGCGUUCUCUCUCAUAACUCUACCUUAAAGAAACACCAAUAUGUUCACACUACACAGGAAAAUUCCCAUCUUCUCCUGAGCCUCUGCAGUCACUGAAAACAUCUGUAGUAUGUGGUUCUGAGUUCUGGGGCAUCUUUUUUUGAAUGCCAGCCAUUGUUGAGGAAAUUAAUACUGUUUGUUUGAGUUUGGUUCUGUGAAUUUGUUUGCAGUUAUUUUGUGCAAUAAAAUGUUUGAUUAAAAUAUUAAAAAGUAAGAA